UACGUAGGGGGCAAGCGUUGUCCGGAAUUAUUGGGCGUAAAGAGCGCGUAGGCGGUCCGAUAAGUCGGCUGUGAAAGUCAAGGGCUCAACCCUUGGAAGCCGGCCGAUACUGUCGGACUAGAGUCCGGAAGAGGCGAGUGGAAUUCCCGGUGUAGCGGUGAAAUGCGCAGAUAUCGGGAGGAACACCAAUUGCGAAGGCAGCUCGCUGGGACGGUACUGACGCUGAGGCGCGAAAGCGUGGGGAGGAAACAGG
RNAcentral lists this ribosomal RNA (253 nucleotides) under uncultured bacterium. RNAcentral's name for it is "partial 16S ribosomal RNA". It matches the Rfam family "Bacterial small subunit ribosomal RNA", at positions 524 to 776 of the family's 1533-position model. The record is from RNAcentral.